CAGUCGCCACGGUAAAACGUAGGGUGCAAGCGUUAAUCGGAAUUACUGGGCGUAAAGCGUGCGCAGGCGGUUUGUUAAGACAGAUGUGAAAUCCCCGGGCUCAACCUGGGAACUGCAUUUGUGACUGGCAAGCUAGAGUAUGGCAGAGGGGGGUGGAAUUCCGCGUGUAGCAGUGAAAUGCGUUGAUAUGCGGAGGAACACCGAUGGCGAAGGCAGCCCCCUGGGCCAAUACUGACGCUCAUGCACGAAAGCGUGGGGAGCAAACAGGAUUAGAUACCCCCGUAGUCCCUGUCUCUUAUAC
Molecule: ribosomal RNA, 301 nt
Filed under: uncultured bacterium
Lineage: Bacteria
Description: partial 16S ribosomal RNA
Rfam family: Bacterial small subunit ribosomal RNA
Source: RNAcentral